AUGGACUUCUUCUAUGCCUCAACGACCACCAUUUUGGGCAAUGGAGCCAAAACACCUUUUUGGGACUCCCCAUGGCUUCUUGGGCGGAAACCGAAGGACAUUGCUCCUUUAAUAUAUGAUGCCUCCACGCGUAAGAAUUGGAAAGUGCAUGAAGCCCUCGAUGGAAAUGCUUGGAUUCUUAAGAUCAGCCACAACAUCGUCGCUUCCGUUGCCCACAUCCGUCAAUUCUUGACGUUAUGGAUGUUGGUGCAUGAUCUACACCUGGACACACAAGCUGACGAUGACAUUAUCUGGAAACAUGCCAAUAAAGGGAUCUACUCGGCGGCCACUGCAUACAAGGCACAAUUCCUCGGCUUGAUGCUCUCGCCUAUGGACUUCAUGAUAUGGAAGGCUUGGGCCCCUCCCAAGAUCAAAUUCUUUGCUUGGUUGACUAUCCAAGACCGGAUUUGGACUGCCGACAGAUUAGAGCGGCGCGGAUGGGAAAACUGUGGACUCUGCCCGCUCUGCAGGACUGAAGGCGAGACGGGCGCGCACCUCUUCUUCAAAUGCCGCUACACUAUUCGGCUAUGGAACUCGGUCAUCCUUGAAUUCGGUCUUGCUCACAUGGACACCUCUUCUUAA
RNAcentral lists this ribosomal RNA (621 nucleotides) under Triticum aestivum (bread wheat). Its description in RNAcentral is "partial small subunit ribosomal RNA". Lineage: Eukaryota; Viridiplantae; Streptophyta; Magnoliopsida; Poales; Poaceae. The record is from RNAcentral.